This 241-nucleotide long non-coding RNA is filed under the name Hordeum vulgare. Its description in RNAcentral is "long non-coding RNA (HVUL_LNC004044)". The record is from RNAcentral. Lineage: Eukaryota; Viridiplantae; Streptophyta; Magnoliopsida; Poales; Poaceae.
AGUAGAUGUGAGUCGGUUGCUGUUGUUCUACCCAUUAUGCUAUGAAGUCAGCAAGAGCUUGAGACUUUAUAACUUUCUUGGCUUCGAACUUGAUGUCUCAGUAUAGCAUCUCCAUUGCCCAGUUUGCCACUCGGCCUGAUGCGUCCCGAUUGUGGAGAAUUUCCGACAACGGAGCAUCAGAUAUGACAUAUACCGAGUGGUCUUGGAAAUAAUGAGCCACCUUCUUUGCAGUCAUGUAGAU